Molecule: ribosomal RNA, 492 nt
Filed under: uncultured bacterium
Lineage: Bacteria
Description: partial 16S ribosomal RNA
Rfam family: Bacterial small subunit ribosomal RNA
Source: RNAcentral
AGUGAACGCUGGCGGUAGGCCUAACACAUGCAAGUCGAACGGCAGCACAGUAAGAGCUUGCUCUUACGGGUGGCGAGUGGCGGACGGGUGAGGAAUACAUCGGAAUCUACUUUUUCGUGGGGGAUAACGUAGGUAAACUUACGCUAAUACCGCAUACGACCUACGGGUGAAAGCAGUGGAUCUUCUGACCUUGCGCGAUUGAAUGCGCCGAUGUCGGAUUAGCUAGUUGGCGGGGUAAAGGCCCACCAAGGCGACGAUCCGUAGCUGGUCUGAGAGGAUGAUCAGCCACACUGGAACUGAGACACGGUCCAGACUCCUACGGGAGGCAGCAGUGGGGAAUAUUGGACAAUGGGCGCAAGCCUGAUCCAGCCAUACCGCGUGGGUGAAGAAGGCCUUCGGGUUGUAAAGCCCUUUUGUUGGGAAAGAAAAGCAGCAGGUUAAUACCCCGCUGUUCUGACGGUACCCAAAGAAUAAGCACCGGCUAACUUCGUG